RNAcentral lists this non-coding RNA (46 nucleotides) under Trichobilharzia regenti. The record is from RNAcentral. Lineage: Eukaryota; Metazoa; Platyhelminthes; Trematoda; Strigeidida; Schistosomatidae.
GUAUUGAUGAAGAGUCCCAAACUAGGACGAAACGGCUGUCCAACAC